This is a long non-coding RNA of Perca flavescens (yellow perch), 622 nucleotides long. RefSeq lists it as uncharacterized. The transcript has 3 exons. The record is from RefSeq and is a predicted model, not a curated record. NCBI's taxonomy places the organism in Eukaryota, Metazoa, Chordata, Actinopteri, Perciformes, Percidae.
UUGUUAUUAACGUGAUGACGACAGCCGCCCCUAUCACCCCCCACAGCACCUUGCUGCAGCCCUGUGAAAGGUGACACAAAAAUUGCAAAAACAUCCUCUUCUUGAAGUCAAACACUGGCUGACGCUGCAGGUUCUCGUUUUGUAGUAAAUGUAUCCAAAACAGUGAGCUGCAAAUUGUCCACACCACCCCAGAGUUCUUCACCUCGACCAGAGUGUAACUACUGUCCUCAGCUCUUCCUCUGCCUUGUGCCUGCAAAAGACCUCUCCAAGAAAUUCUCAAGAAUCUGGGCUGUGCAAAUGAUGACGUCGUUGUUCUUCACGAUCUCUGUGAAAGAGAUUUUGAGCUGGCAGUCUCCGCUGACUCUCUCCACUUUAUAUGAAGGCUUCAAAAACGGCAAGAACUCUGCGGAAUAAUGCUGCUCAACAAGAGGAACCUGCAGGACACCAGAGCACAUUUAGUUUUAUGCUGUCGAUGCAACAAAGUCAAAAAAUUUCACAAAUAGAAAUAACUCUCAACAAAAGAAAUGAAGAAAUAGCUGCAUUGUUUAUAUUCCUACAAAGCUCCUGAUGAUGUGAGAGUGUGUUUGUUUAUGAUCACAAUAAAUGCUGUUAUGACUUUGUC